AGAGGAAGUUUUCGGAUGGAAUCGGCGUAACUUAGUGGCGGACGGGUGAGUAACGCGUGGGAAACCUGCCCUGUACCGGGGGAUAACACUUAGAAAUAGGUGCUAAUACCGCAUAAGCGCACAGCUUCACAUGAAGCAGUGUGAAAAACUCCGGUGGUACAGGAUGGUCCCGCGUCUGAUUAGCCAGUUGGCAGGGUAACGGCCUACCAAAGCGACGAUCAGUAGCCGGCCUGAGAGGGUGAACGGCCACAUUGGGACUGAGACACGGCCCAAACUCCUACGGGAGGCAGCAGUGGGGAAUAUUGCACAAUGGGGGAAACCCUGAUGCAGCGACGCCGCGUGAGUGAAGAAGUAUUUCGGUAUGUAAAGCUCUAUCAGCAGGGAAGAAAAUGACGGUACCUGACUAAGAAGCCCCGGCUAACUACGUGCCAGCAGCCGCGGUAAUACGUAGGGGGCAAGCGUUAUCCGGAUUUACUGGGUGUAAAGGGAGCGUAGACGGCAUGACAAGCCAGAUGUGAAAACCCAGGGCUCAACCCUGGGACUGCAUUUGGAACUGCCAGGCUGGAGUGCAGGAGAGGUAAGCGGAAUUCCUAGUGUAGCGGUGAAAUGCGUAGAUAUUAGGAGGAACACCAGUGGCGAAGGCGGCUUACUGGACUGUAACUGACGUUGAGGCUCGAAAGCGUGGGGAGCAAACAGGAUUAGAUACCCUGGUAGUCCACGCGGUAAACGAUGAUUGCUAGGUGUAGGUGGGUAUGGACCCAUCGGUGCCGCAGCUAACGCAAUAAGCAAUCCACCUGG
Molecule: ribosomal RNA, 798 nt
Filed under: uncultured bacterium
Lineage: Bacteria
Description: bacterial SSU rRNA
Rfam family: Bacterial small subunit ribosomal RNA
Source: RNAcentral